UCUAAAUUCCAGCCAAUCAUGAUAAGCAC
This 29-nucleotide small RNA is filed under the name Bombyx mori (domestic silkworm). RNAcentral's name for it is "ovarian small RNA-29396". The record is from RNAcentral. Lineage: Eukaryota; Metazoa; Arthropoda; Insecta; Lepidoptera; Bombycidae.